Molecule: transfer RNA, 75 nt
Filed under: Populus laurifolia
Lineage: Eukaryota; Viridiplantae; Streptophyta; Magnoliopsida; Malpighiales; Salicaceae
Also listed under: 2 other names
Description: tRNA-Leu
Source: RNAcentral
CGAAAUUGGUAGACGCUACGGACUUGACUUUAUAAAUCGUGAGGGUUCAAGUCCCUCUAUCCCCAAAAAAGGGCC